RNAcentral lists this ribosomal RNA (537 nucleotides) under uncultured bacterium. RNAcentral describes it as "partial 16S ribosomal RNA". The record is from RNAcentral.
GUAGUUAGCCGGGGCUUCCUCCUUGGCUACCGUCACUUUCUUCGUCACCAAGGACAGAGGUUUACAACCCGAAAGCCUUCUUCCCUCACGCGGCGUUGCUGGGUCAGGCUUGCGCCCAUUGCCCAAUAUUCCCCACUGCUGCCUCCCGUAGGAGUCUGGACCGUGUCUCAGUUCCAGUGUGGCCGAUCAGCCUCUCAGCUCGGCUACCCAUCGUUGGCUAGGUGGGCCGUUACCCCGCCUACUACCUAAUGGGACGCGAACCCCUCCUUUAGCGGAUUUCUCCUUUGACCUCUGUGUCAUGCGGCACUGUGGUCUUAUGCGGUAUUAGCACCUGUUUCCAAGUGUUAUCCCCCUCUAAAGGGCAGGUUGUUCACGCGUUACUCACCCGUUCGCCACUAAGUACAAAACCGAAAUUCUGUACUCCGUUCGACUUUGCAUGUGUUAGGCACGCCGCCAGCGUUCGUCCUGAGCCCAGGAAUCGAAACCUUCGACGUACGUAGACGGGCGGUCGGUCGGAACGACGGGCCGACGUAGUAG